UUGGUGCUGUUACUCAUCAUGUUAUCAAUCAUGACGCUACCGUUCUUCUUCUUCGAAGACAGUUACACCUCGUUUCGUAUAAGGGUGCAUAUGAUUGACGUCUGUAGUAUAUUCCUUGAAAUAAUGCUUCAAACAUAUUUCUUACUGCUUGUACGAAGUGAGAUGGUGAAGCUUAACAGCAAUUGCGAAUUCAGAUUCGUGAAUAAUGCCGCCCAAGCCGAAUGUGUCAUGACGUAUCAAGAAAAUGGAAACGGAAAAGUUACGGCAGAAUUGAAGAAAGAGAACUAUGUUUGACUGAUAAGUGCUGGAGGUGACGGGGGGAGGAAGCGUGACAGCGCACUUUUGUAGAGCGACGUCUCUUUUCCACAACUGCAAUAAUAUUAUUAGCUUUUGAAUAUGAGCUCUUUAAACAGGACUGUUACUUUUGUGGGAGGAAGAUGCUACGCACAAAAUGUAGAGUGCUAUCUCGCCUCCGCAUUAUCAAUAAUCCUGCUUUAGAAGUUCAUAGUAAAGGCAAGGAAUACUUUGUUAACGUGCCUUCAUGGAAUCUAGAUUGGUUUCAGUGAAUAAUCUAGAUUUUUCUAAAAUAAACUUUUGACUUCCAUGUAUGUUAUGUGUUUCAAGAACUUAGUUAAAUAAAUUUUCUAUAUCCUUAUUGAAA
Trichoplusia ni (cabbage looper) is the source of this 661-nucleotide long non-coding RNA. RefSeq lists it as uncharacterized. The transcript is spliced from 2 exons. The record is from RefSeq and is a predicted model, not a curated record. Lineage: Eukaryota; Metazoa; Arthropoda; Insecta; Lepidoptera; Noctuidae.